AAGAAACUAACAAGGAUUCCCCUAGUAACUGCGAGUGAAGAGGGAAAAGCUCAAAUUUAAAAUCUGGCAGUCUUUGAUUGUCCGAGUUGUAAUUUAGAGAAGUGUUACCCGUGUUGGCCUGUGUACAAGUCUCCUGGAAUGGAGCGUCAUAGAGGGUGAGAAUCCCGUCUUUGACACAGAUCCCAAUGCAUUGUGGUGCGCUCUCAAAGAGUCGAGUUGUUUGGGAAUGCAGCUCUAAAUGGGUGGUAAAUUCCAUCUAAAGCUAAAUAUUGGGGAGAGACCGAUAGCGAACAAGUACCGUGAGGGAAAGAUGAAAAGAACUUUGGAAAGAGAGUUAAACAGUACGUGAAAUUGCUGAAAGGGAAACGCUUGAAGUCAGUCGCGUUUGUCAGGGAUCAGCCUUCCUCUUGGUUGGUGUACUUCCUGAUGAAUGGGUCAACAUCAGUUUUGAUCAGUGGAUAAGAGCUUGAGGAAUGUGGCAUCUCCGGGUGUGUUAUAGCCUCUUGUUGUAUACAUUGAUUGGGACUGAGGAACUCAGCACGCCGCAAGGCCGGGUUUUUAACCACGUUCGUGCUUAGGAUGUUGGCAUAAUGGCUUUAAUCGACCCGUCUUGAAACACGGACCAAGGAGUCUAACAUGCCUGCGAGUGUUUGGGUGGUAAACCCGAGCGCGUAAUGAAAGUGAAAGUUAGGAUCUCUGUCAUGGAGAGCACUGACGCCCGGCCCAGACCUUCUGUGACGGUGCCGCGGUUGAGCAUGUAUGUUGGGACCCGAAAGAUGGUGAACUAUGCCUGAAUAGGGUGAAGCCAGAGGAAACUCUGGUGGAGGCUCGUAGCGAUUCUGA
RNAcentral lists this ribosomal RNA (843 nucleotides) under Lentinula raphanica. RNAcentral's name for it is "eukaryotic LSU rRNA". It matches the Rfam family "Eukaryotic large subunit ribosomal RNA", at positions 59 to 889 of the family's 3401-position model. Lineage: Eukaryota; Fungi; Basidiomycota; Agaricomycetes; Agaricales; Omphalotaceae. The record is from RNAcentral.